Molecule: small nuclear RNA, 107 nt
Organism: Nycticebus coucang (slow loris)
Lineage: Eukaryota; Metazoa; Chordata; Mammalia; Primates; Lorisidae
Source: RefSeq, a predicted model, not a curated record
GUGCUCCCUUCAGCAGCACAUAUACUAAAAUUGUUAAAAUAUAGAGAAGAUUGGCAUGGCCCGUGUGCAAAGAUGACAUACAAAUUCAUGAAGCAUUCCAUAUUUUU